RNAcentral lists this ribosomal RNA (436 nucleotides) under uncultured bacterium. Its description in RNAcentral is "bacterial SSU rRNA". It matches the Rfam family "Bacterial small subunit ribosomal RNA", at positions 958 to 1392 of the family's 1533-position model. The record is from RNAcentral.
AACGCGAAGAACCUUACCUGGGUUUGACAUGCACAGGACGACCGCAGAGAUGCGGUUUCCCUUGUGGCCUGUGUGCAGGUGGUGCAUGGCAGUCGUCAGCUCGUGUCGUGAGAUGUUGGGUUAAGUCCCGCAACGAGCGCAACCCUUGUCUCAUGUUGCCAGCGCGUAAUGGCGGGGACUCGUGAGAGACUGCCGGGGUCAACUCGGAGGAAGGUGGGGAUGACGUCAAGUCAUCAUGCCCCUUAUGUCCAGGGCUUCACACAUGCUACAAUGGCCGGUACAGAGGGCUGCGAUGCCGUGAGGUGGAGCGAAUCCUUGUUAAAGCCGGUCUCAGUUCGGAUCGGGGUCUGCAACUCGACCCCGUGAAGUCGGAGUCGCUAGUAAUCGCAGAUCAGCAACGCUGCGGUGAAUACGUUCCCGGGUCUUGUACACACCG